This 368-nucleotide ribosomal RNA is filed under the name uncultured bacterium. RNAcentral's name for it is "bacterial SSU rRNA". It matches the Rfam family "Bacterial small subunit ribosomal RNA", at positions 152 to 507 of the family's 1533-position model. The record is from RNAcentral.
GGAAACAGAUGCUAAUACCGCAUAAACCUAACACCGCAUGGUGUAGGGUUGAAAGAUGGUUUCGGCUAUCACUUUAGGAUGGACCCGCGGUGCAUUAGUUAGUUGGUGAGGUAAAGGCUCACCAAGACCGUGAUGCAUAGCCGACCUGAGAGGGUAAUCGGCCACACUGGGACUGAGACACGGCCCAGACUCCUACGGGAGGCAGCAGUAGGGAAUCUUCCACAAUGGACGAAAGUCUGAUGGAGCAACGCCGCGUGAGUGAAGAAGGUUUUCGGAUCGUAAAACUCUGUUGUUGGAGAAGAAUGUAUCUGAUAGUAACUGAUCAGGUAGUGACGGUAUCCAACCAGAAAGCCACGGCUAACUACGUG